Molecule: ribosomal RNA, 460 nt
Filed under: uncultured bacterium
Lineage: Bacteria
Description: partial 16S ribosomal RNA
Rfam family: Bacterial small subunit ribosomal RNA
Source: RNAcentral
CCUACGGGAGGCAGCAGUGAGGAAUAUUGGUCAAUGGACGAGAGUCUGAACCAGCCAAGUAGCGUGAAGGAUGACUGCCCUAUGGGUUGUAAACUUCUUUUAUAUGGGAAUAAAAUGUUCCACGUGUGGGAUUUUGUAUGUACCAUAUGAAUAAGGAUCGGCUAACUCCGUGCCAGCAGCCGCGGUAAUACGGAGGAUCCGAGCGUUAUCCGGAUUUAUUGGGGUUAAAGGGAGCGUAGGUGGAUUGUUAAGUCAGUUGUGAAAGUUUGCGGCUCAACCGUAAAAUUGCAGUUGAAACUGGCAGUCUUGAGUACAGUAGAGGUGGGCGGAAUUCGUGGUGUAGCGGUGAAAUGCUUAGAUAUCACGAAGAACUACGAUUGCGAAGGCAGUUCACUGGACUGCAACUGACACUGAGGCUCGAAAGUGUGGGUAUCAAACAGGAUUAGAUACCCGAGUAGUC